RNAcentral lists this ribosomal RNA (490 nucleotides) under uncultured bacterium. RNAcentral's name for it is "partial 16S ribosomal RNA". It matches the Rfam family "Bacterial small subunit ribosomal RNA", at positions 29 to 507 of the family's 1533-position model. The record is from RNAcentral.
AGUGAACGCUGGCGGCAGGCCUAACACAUGCAAGUCGAACGGCAGCACAAGAGAGCUUGCUCUCUGGGUGGCGAGUGGCGGACGGGUGAGGAAUGCAUCGGAAUCUGCCCAUUUGUGGGGGAUAACCUCGGGAAACCGGGACUAAUACCGCAUACGACCUACGGGUGAAAGCAGGGGAUCUUCGGACCUUGCGCAGAUGGAUGAGCCGAUGCCGGAUUAGCUAGUUGGAGGGGUAAAGGCCCACCAAGGCGACGAUCCGUAGCUGGUCUGAGAGGAUGAUCAGCCACACUGGGACUGAGACACGGCCCAGACUCCUACGGGAGGCAGCAGUGGGGAAUAUUGGACAAUGGGCGCAAGCCUGAUCCAGCCAUGCCGCGUGUGUGAAGAAGGCCUUCGGGUUGUAAAGCACUUUUGAUGGGAAAGAAAAGCAGCCGGUUAAUACCCGGUUGUCAUGACGGUACCCAAAGAAUAAGCACCGGCUAACUUCGUG